AUAGAAUUGAUGAGGUUUCAUAUAUGUAAAAAUUAAUGACUAUCAGUAUAUUAUCAUUUAUGAAAGAUUUGAACGUCCUAGGUAGACUCUGUGACUAGGGUAUGGUACUGUGAUUUUCUUAGUGUUUCUUGUGCUUGGGAUUCAUUGAGCUGCUUGGAUCUGCGAGUUUUUGAUUUUCAUUAAAUUUGGAAAAAUGUUGGCCUGUCUUUCUUCCAGUGCUUUUCUACCUACCCCUCUCCUUUAAGGUCUGCAAGUACGCAUAUAUCAGGCUGCUUGAAGUUGUCCUACAGCUCAGUGAUGCUCUGUCCUUUUUUAAAAAUUCUUUUUUCUUUCAUCAAUUUUAGAUAACUUCUAUUGCUAUGUUUUCAAAUUUACUAAUCUUGGGGGACAAUAUUUCAUCUACCAUUAAUUCUGUCCAGUGUGAUUUUAAUCUCAGGAUUGAGAUCUUCCCAAAGCAUGAUGAGUAAGGUGCCAGUGUUUACCUGGAGGAAACCUCUCCAGAUGGUGCUAAUGUACUCUGCCUCAUUCAGCAUCUUUACUGGCAACUUGGAAGUCAAAGAGAGCAGGCAUGUCAAGUGCUCAGUUGACCAGAGUCAGGAGAUAGCACUAAGUCAGCUGUCAGGAACAAGAUUCAGAGAGAUCUAGACAGCUUAGAAUGUUGGAUCAAAACUAACAAGAUGAAAUAUAGAAUCUGUAGUUGAAUUCAAGCAUUCAAUGCCCCAGGUAAGGGAGACCUGAGUUCCUGAGUGAACAACAAAAAGCAGUGAUUUUGGCUGAUUGCACACUCAAUAUAAAUUACUAGCAUAACGUGCUUGUUAGAAAAGGGAGAGGGAGGGGGGCCGGCCCUGUGGCUGAGUGAUGAAGUUCGCGCGCUCCGCUGUGGUGGCCCAGGAUUUUGCUGGUUUGGAUCCUGGGCAUGGACAUGGCACCACUCAUUGGGCCAUGCUGGGGCGGCCUCCCACAUGCCACAACUGGAAGGACCCACAACUAAAAAUAUACAGCUAUGUGCCGGGGGGCUUUGGGGAACAAAAGGAAAAAUAAAAUCUUUAAAAAAAGAAAAAAAGAAAAGGGGGCGAGAAAGCAUUUUUGCAGCUUUAUAUUGCAUAUAUAAAGUGGUCGUAUCCAAGAUAAAGGAGAUAGUUAUUCCCCCAGAAUUGUAGUUUUCAUUUCUAAAAGUUCAAUUGUAAUCUUUUUUGUAUCUCCCAUGACUCUACUUAAUAUUUUGAAUAUAUGGAAUGCAGUUAUAAUAACAGUUUUAAUGUCUUUGCUUGUUGCUAAUUCAGCAGUUGCUUGCUGCUAACACAGAUGCUAAUGACAUCUGUGUCAUUUCUGGGUCAAUUUUUAUUGACUGAUUUGUCUACUCAUUGUGGGUCACAGUUUCCUGUCUCUGUAUGUCUGGUAAUUUUUUUUUCCUUUUUUUUUUUUUUUAGGAAGAUUAGCCCUGAGGUAACAUCUGCUGCCAGCCCUCUUUUUUUGGCUGAGGAAGACUGGCCUUGAGCUAACAUCCAUGCCAUCUUCUUCUGCUUUAUAUGUGGGAUGCCUGCCACAGCAUGGCUUGACAAGUGGUGCAUAGGUCCGCACCUGGGAUCCAAACCUGCAAACCCUGGGCUGCUGAAGCGGAACGUGCAAACUUAACCGCUGCGCCACCGGGCCAGUCCCUGUAUGUCUGAAGGGUCAUUUUGGACCAGAGAGAGACAGACGGGGCCAAUUACUUGGCGUGUGGAUAAAAGUGGUCGGAUGAUUCAGGCUCCAGAUGGCCAUUCAGCAAGCUGAAUAGAGAGACUGAACGACCAAUCUCGUGUUCAAAUGAGGACAAGGAAGGUAAAGGUGACCGUUGAUGAGGUAACAAGGGGAGUGGGGUGUCACAGAAAGCCCCUAGAUGGGCGUCUCGGGGAGGCUGGAGUUGCUGCAGGAUCAUUUCUGAGCCUCCACAAGCACAGACAAGUUCAAAGUGUUGACUCCUGAGGAGUCCUUGCAUCAUUCUCCAGGCCAAAGGGAAUCCAAGCAGACCGCUGAAACAUACACGGUGUUUACUUCAUCCGCUUUGGCUGUCACAGUUUUUUGGCUGAAAUAGUAAUCACCCGAGAGCUGCUCUCCACAGCUUCCAGAAGAUCUGUUCAAACACUGACUCGCUUACCAAAUGUUUAUUGUAUCACUUGUUUUUUACAAGGCACCGCCCCCCCCCCC
Equus asinus (donkey) is the source of this 2187-nucleotide long non-coding RNA. NCBI's taxonomy places the organism in Eukaryota, Metazoa, Chordata, Mammalia, Perissodactyla, Equidae. The record is from Ensembl.